GCCCUGUAACAACCUGCUGACAUCCACCACUCCGACUCUGACAGGCCCUAACUGCCUAACAAACUUUACUAUAAAGAGAAAGAUAAGGAAAAAAAGGGAGGAUUCCGAAUUCAACUCACUCUCAUCUUCUUCCUCUACUAUUCUCUCUCUCCGACUGUUACUAGCUUAACCAUCGGAGGGUCUCCAACAAGAGAACCCCC
RNAcentral lists this long non-coding RNA (200 nucleotides) under Elaeis guineensis (African oil palm). Its description in RNAcentral is "long non-coding RNA (EGUI_LNC000674)". The record is from RNAcentral. Lineage: Eukaryota; Viridiplantae; Streptophyta; Magnoliopsida; Arecales; Arecaceae.